CCUACGGGUGGCAGCAGUGGGGAAUAUUGGACAAUGGGCGCAAGCCUGAUCCAGCCAUGCCGCGUGAGUGAUGAAGGCCCUAGGGUUGUAAAGCUCUUUCACCCACGAGGAUAAUGACGGUAGUGGGAGAAGAAGCCCCGGCUAACUUCGUGCCAGCAGCCGCGGUAAUACGAAGGGGGCUAGCGUUGUUCGGAAUCACUGGGCGUAAAGCGCACGUAGGCGGACUUUUAAGUCAGGGGUGAAAUCCCGGGGCUCAACCUCGGAACUGCCUUUGAUACUGGAAGUCUUGAGUCCGAGAGAGGUGAGUGGAACUCCGAGUGUAGAGGUGAAAUUCGUAGAUAUUCGGAAGAACACCAGUGGCGAAGGCGGCUCACUGGCUCGGUACUGACGCUGAGGUGCGAAAGCGUGGGGAGCAAACAGGAUUAGAUACCCGAGUAGUC
This 440-nucleotide ribosomal RNA is filed under the name uncultured bacterium. Its description in RNAcentral is "bacterial SSU rRNA". It matches the Rfam family "Bacterial small subunit ribosomal RNA", at positions 338 to 795 of the family's 1533-position model. The record is from RNAcentral.